Molecule: long non-coding RNA, 1048 nt
Organism: Vespa mandarinia (Asian giant hornet)
Lineage: Eukaryota; Metazoa; Arthropoda; Insecta; Hymenoptera; Vespidae
Gene: by
Source: RefSeq, a predicted model, not a curated record
CCUCUAUUUUGAAAAAAAAAAAAAAAGUUAUAGUAAAUCGUGAUUUAUUAGGUAUCGUUAUAUCUUGUAUAUAGGAAAAAGUAGAAGAGUAAAUAAUUAUCUAUAUCGCAAUAUACGGCGAGGACGAAAAUUCUGCUGGUAGAUAUCUUCUGGUGGGGUUGGCUCUACCUGGCGGCCGAUAGCACGAUGGGUUCCGUGCACGCGCGCUACGGAGUCUCUCCAGUCAGCGAAGAGCGCUCUAACGCGAAGGACGUGGGAAAGAUCGAUUCGCGUUGAAAUUUGUAUUUCUCGAUUCCUACGAUCGCGUUUUUAUUUUCGUUUACAGCUGCGAGGACUACUUGUCUAUAUAUAUAUAUAUAUAUACACACACACACAUACACAUAUAUAUAUAUAUAUGUAUAUAUAAAUAUAUACAUUUAUAACGUGAUAACUUUUAUCUAACUUUAAUGUAUCUCUUUAAUCGAUCCGCGAUCAUUGAUUAAUGAUCGAUAAAGAUGAUCGAUUAUAUGGAUUAAUGUUACAAGUGAAAAACUUUAGUAAUAGUGAUUAAGCAUUCGUGUGAUCCUUGAUCGAACGAAAUAAAAAACUCAAUCGGAUUGUUCGCUUUAAAACGAAAUCUAUAAAAGUUUUGAAAAAAAAACAAAAAAAAAGAAAAAGAAAUGAGGAGAUAAAAAAUCGAUAUAGUUAUGUAUAACGAGUACCACCAUCACCACCACCACCACCACCACCACCACCAUUAACACCACCAACUCGAUCCCUACGUUCUUUCCACUCGAGCAGAAUAAAAAAAGCAAGCGAAGGAAGAACUUACUGCGGUACGGUAAAACGCACGUUCGAAAGAGUCUCUCGAGACUAAUACUCUCGAUUCGAUCGCACGAUCGAUUCUCUCGUCGUGACGUCGAUACUUCCGAUAAGGCAUCUGAAAUCGAGCGGAAGAUAUUCUAUCUGAAAGAAGAUCACGAUGAGAGCGAGAGGGUAAAGGAACAAGUAAAAGUAUAAGUACAAGAGGAGGAGGAGGAGGAGGAGGAAGAAGAAGAAGAAAAAGAAG